AACCUUAUGGACCUGCGGGCGUAUACCUGCGGAAGGAUCAUUAUCGAGUUGCAAAACUCCAACCCUUUGUGAACAUACCUCAGUCGUUGCUUCGGCGGUGGACGGCCUGUUUUUCGGAACGGCCGGAAGCCGCCGGAGGUUCCAAACUCGUAUUUUUUUAGUGUAUCUCUGAGCCUGAAAACAAAUAAUCAAAACUUUUAACAAUGGAUCU
This 211-nucleotide unclassified non-coding RNA is filed under the name soil metagenome. Its description in RNAcentral is "partial contains 5.8S ribosomal RNA, internal transcribed spacer 2, and large subunit ribosomal RNA". The record is from RNAcentral.